GUAAACAAACAAACUGACAUGUUGUGAUUUUGUGGAAGUUUUACUUUUUUGUCGAAAAUAGUCACGGUGCAACGGCAUCCGGCACUUACGAAUUGUUACCGUUCCAGUUUCUGGAUGAAGCCACAAAAUCGCCGGGGUCGAUUUCAGUAUUAGCAAACGGAUAGGGACAGCCGACAGUCUUGCUCAAUCAGGUUCUGUUCCUGCUGUAGAGCGCAGCGAGGAGCGUCGUCAUCAAGCUCCGAAGCAGCACCCUUUGUAUUAUGCAAAUGGCUCGCUUUGUAAUACGCAUUCGAAUAUAAUAAUUUAACGUGCGCCAGGAACAGCACAAACCAUUAACGUGCAGUGAAACAAACUGGCCGUUUUUUCACUGGCUCCGGUCUGACGUUGACAACAUUCUGAGAUGCCCAGCUAGCUCGUUAUCAGUGGACGUAUUUGUUCGUGAUGUUUCCAUUUCAGGCUACACCGGAGGAGGGACUGAAGGAAACAACCUCCCACCAGCCAUUUGAAACUAUUUAGGUAAUUGUCUAGUUUAGAGACUUUAUGUUUAGAGGUCCAUUUUUAAUGCGGUUUUUUGCUAAAAUGGUGUAUUUUAACCUCAAUAAACCGAAUCCGAGAGCGGAAAUGUAAAAUUUAUUACCAAAGUUUGAUAAAUUGAAAAAAUAAGUUGUGCUUAAUAACGCUCAUAACAAUGACAUACUGCCAUAGCAAGUAAGCUUAUGGAGCGGAGCUGGUGUGAUGCGGCUUUGACUAGCUCCGGCGGAAUAGUAAGCAAACCCCCUGAUCCCUUCGUUUGCCCGGUUUACUCAAACAUAGGGGCUAUAGCUAGUUUAAAGCCGACUGAGCGGUAGCGAAGUCGAACAGUGCGCCAAAAAGCAAUGUGGCGUAGCCACAUUCGUCAACAAUUUUGUUAUUUUGUAUAAAUGUGAGGUUAUGUUUAAUCAUAUUCGGUUUAAAUCGCGAAAAAUGUCGGACGAUCCAAGUGCGUGUAGCGCGUGCCAAGUUACUGCAGAUAAACUAUUUGUAAUGGGCAAAGACGAGAUAAUGAAAUUUUUGUACGAACAUGGUACAUUUGUCUCAAAUAACAAAACGGUUGACGAAUGUGGCUACGCCACAUCGCUUUUUAGCGCACUGUCCGACUUCGCUACCGCUCAGUCGGCUUUAGACUAGCUAUAGCCCCUAUGUUUGAGUAAACCGGGCAAACGAAGGGAUCAGGGGGUUUGUUUACUAUUCCGCCGGAGUUAGUCAUCGUCUCGUUCGGCGGAUCCUCAGCGGCAUUGCGCCGCUUCGGAUCCUUGGCCUCGACUAUGCGGCAAAGCCGCAUCACACCAGCUCCGCUCCAUAAGCUUACUUGCUAUGGCAGUAUGUCAUUGUCAUGAGUGUUAUUAAGCACAACUUAUUUUUUCAAUUUAUCAAACUUUAGUAAUAAAUUUGACAUUUCCGCUCUCGGCUUCGGUUUAUUGGGGUUAAAAUACACCAUUUUAGCAAAAAACCGCAUUAAAAAUGGACCUCUAAACAUAAAGUCUCUAAACUAGACAAUUACCAAAUGGUGAUUAGUGAUGUACCAGGAACACCUAAUUAUAUGAGAAUGGGUCGCGGAUUUUCGUCUUCCCUAUUAAGCAGCGCACUAACACCGUUCCGUUUCUUGAACUGGCUCGGUGUUAUCAGCAGCAGCGGCAGACUAUAUUGAAUCGUAAUUUUAGACGAUGAAGCAAACACGAAGGAAAACAAGAUAAUAUAAUAGAUCUAUUAUUUUUAAUUGAAAGAUUUUAUAUUUGCAAGAGAAAUGUCGUUGGAAUGAGAUUUUACAAAUUUCCUGAAACAAGAUGAUCAGCUGGUGUGUGUCACAAACAAGUGAUGAACGAGUCCAUAGGAUAUCAGCGCAUAAUAAACAUGCAAAAGAGCCUAUGUUGGGCGACAAAAUAAUCAUCGGAGUGCUCUUCGAGUGUAAGUUUUUCGUGUCGCGUAAAGUAUAAGACAUUUACUGUACACAAAUUAUUAGUUUAUUAAACAUUUCUUGUAAUAAAGAUAAAUGCAAUUUCUA
This is a long non-coding RNA of Topomyia yanbarensis, 2041 nucleotides long. RefSeq lists it as uncharacterized. The record is from RefSeq and is a predicted model, not a curated record. Lineage: Eukaryota; Metazoa; Arthropoda; Insecta; Diptera; Culicidae. The transcript is spliced from 2 exons.